Molecule: small nuclear RNA, 49 nt
Filed under: Cervus elaphus hippelaphus
Lineage: Eukaryota; Metazoa; Chordata; Mammalia; Artiodactyla; Cervidae
Source: RNAcentral
GUGCUUGCUUCAGCUGCACAAAUAUUGCAAAUUGGAAUGAUAAAGAGAA